RNAcentral lists this ribosomal RNA (406 nucleotides) under uncultured bacterium. RNAcentral describes it as "partial 16S ribosomal RNA". It matches the Rfam family "Bacterial small subunit ribosomal RNA", at positions 30 to 526 of the family's 1533-position model. The record is from RNAcentral.
AUUGAACGCUGGCGGCAGGCCUAACACAUGCAAGUCGAGCGGAGCGGAGGACGGGUGUGUAAUUCCUAGGAAUCUGACUGGUAGUGGGGUUUAACGUCCGGAAACGGGCGCUAAUCCCGCAUCUUAUACGAUGAGCCUAGGUCGGAUUAGCUAGUUGGUGGGGUAAAGGCCUACCAAGGCGACGCUCCGUAACUGGUCUGAGAGGAUGAGCAGUCACACUGAAACUGAGACACGGUCCAGACUCCUACUGGAAGCAGAAGUGGGAAAUAUUGGACAAUGUGCGAAAGCCUGAGCCUGCCAUGCCGGGUGUGUGAAGAAGGUCUUCGUUUUGUAAAGCACUUUAAGUUGGGAGGCGUAACCAACAGAAUAGGCACCGGCUAACAUCGGGCCAGCAGCCGGGUAAUUC